GACAGAGGGUGCAAGCGUUGUUCGGAAUCAUUGGGCGUAAAGGGCGCGUAGGCGGUUUUGUAAGUCGGAUGUGAAAGCCCAGGGCUUAACCUUGGAAGUGCAUCCGAAACUGCAUAACUGGAGUCUCGGAGAGGGUGGUGGAAUUCCCAGUGUAGAGGUGAAAUUCGUAGAUAUUCGGAAGAACACCAGUGGCGAAGGCGACUUACUGGACACAUAUUGACGCUGAGGUGCGAAAGCGUGGGGAGCAAACAGG
RNAcentral lists this ribosomal RNA (253 nucleotides) under uncultured bacterium. RNAcentral describes it as "partial 16S ribosomal RNA". It matches the Rfam family "Bacterial small subunit ribosomal RNA", at positions 524 to 776 of the family's 1533-position model. The record is from RNAcentral.